GUACACGCUGUGACUAGCAUAUCAAUAAGCGGAGGAAAAGAAACUAACAAGGAUUCCCCUAGUAACGGCGAGUGAAGCGGGAAGAGCUCAAAUUUGAAAUCUUAAAGGGUUUCCCUUUACGAAUUGUAGUUUAAAGAAGUGUUUUCUGUUGAGGUUUUGGUAAAAGUUCUUUGGAAUAGGACAUCAUAGAGGGUGAGAAUCCCGUAUUUGACCUUUACUUUCAACUUUGUGAUACACUUUCAAAGAGUCGGAUUGUUUGGGAAUGCAGUCCAAAAUGGGUGGUAAAUUUCAUCUAAAGCUAAAUAUUGGCGAGAGACCGAUAGCGAACAAGUACCGUGAGGGAAAGAUGAAAAGAACUUUGAAAAGAGAGUUAAACAGUACGUGAAAUUGUCAAAAGGGAAGCGUUUGACACCAGUGUUGUUUUUCUGAAAAUCAAUUAAAGAACUGUUUAUGCUAAGCUGUUUAGACUUUAUCAGCUAUCUGUUUAGUUUUGAGCUUUUCUUUAAUGCACUUUUCAGUUAACAAGUCAACAUCAAUUUCUUUUGCUGUAAAAAAGCUUGAGGAAGGUGGCUUGAGAUUCGUCUUAAGUGUUUAUAGCCUCUUGCCUAUGCAGUCGGAGAGAUUGAGGUCUGCAGCGUAGAUCCUUCGGGGCUAAAUGCAUUUGUGCUAAGUUAUAGCAUUUUAUAGACAACUUGUUGACUAUGAUUUGUCUUGUAGCUUACUCGCUUAUGUUAUUUUACCUACGCUUAGGAUGUUGACGAGACUGUCGAUCUC
Molecule: ribosomal RNA, 774 nt
Filed under: uncultured Neocallimastigales
Lineage: Eukaryota; Fungi; Neocallimastigomycota; Neocallimastigomycetes; Neocallimastigales
Description: partial large subunit ribosomal RNA
Rfam family: Eukaryotic large subunit ribosomal RNA
Source: RNAcentral